Molecule: ribosomal RNA, 327 nt
Filed under: uncultured eukaryote
Lineage: Eukaryota
Description: partial 18S ribosomal RNA
Rfam family: Eukaryotic small subunit ribosomal RNA
Source: RNAcentral
CCCUUAGAUGUUCUGGGCCGCACACGCGCUACACUGAAGGAGGCAGCGUGUACUCCUGGAUCGAAAGAUUUGGGUAACCCGCGAAUCUCCUUCGUGCUAGGGAUUGAGGUUUGCAAUUAUCCUUCAUGAACGAGGAAUUCCCAGUAAGUGCAAGUCAUAAGCUUGCGCUGACUACGUCCCUACCCUUUGUACACACCGCCCGUCGCUACUACCGAUUGAAUGAUUUAGUGAGGACUUCGGACUGGGACCGAUGCGGCUUUCGGGCUGCGUCGGUAUUCUGGAAAGAUGUCCAAACUGUAUCAUUUAGAGGAAGUAAAANUCGUANCA